RNAcentral lists this long non-coding RNA (219 nucleotides) under Elaeis guineensis (African oil palm). Its description in RNAcentral is "long non-coding RNA (EGUI_LNC068853)". Lineage: Eukaryota; Viridiplantae; Streptophyta; Magnoliopsida; Arecales; Arecaceae. The record is from RNAcentral.
GCUGUGGGGGUGCAUAAGGGCCGUUGCGAGGGCCUCUCCCCCCAUUCGAUCUCUUAAUAAUCGGGCCUUCGACUUUGCUCAUGUUAGGACGAGGUUCUCCUCCUAUUCCUAACAUGACUAUGGGGGCGCAUAAGGGCUGUUGCGAGGGCCUCUCCACCCAUUCGAUCUCUUAAUAACUGAGUCUUUGACUUUGCUUAUAUUAGGAUGAGGUUCUCCUCC